Molecule: non-coding RNA, 216 nt
Organism: Cinara cedri
Lineage: Eukaryota; Metazoa; Arthropoda; Insecta; Hemiptera; Aphididae
Source: the annotation of a GenBank genome assembly
CACUGCACCGUCACUUACGCGUUGAACAUACCUCUCCGGUCUCCGGUCUCCCUGACGAAUUACAUUAUCAAUCAUUCGGAUUAUUUUCGUCAAUCCCGGCAGACGAGUCAUCAAAUCGAUACCAUAAAUCUUCGAUUUUACAUAUUACUUUAAAACUGGUCUUAAGAAUUAUUCUAAAACGACACGGGUCCGGAUUUUCAUAAACGCCAGAAAGUU